RNAcentral lists this ribosomal RNA (403 nucleotides) under uncultured bacterium. RNAcentral's name for it is "bacterial SSU rRNA". It matches the Rfam family "Bacterial small subunit ribosomal RNA", at positions 355 to 774 of the family's 1533-position model. The record is from RNAcentral.
UAGGGAAUAUUGCAAAAUGGGCGAAAGCCCGAUGCAGCAACGCCGCGUGGGCGAUGAAGGCCUUCGGGUCGUAAAGCCCUUUUUGAGGGGAUGAGGAAGGACAGUACCCUCAGAAUAAGCCUCGGCUAACUACGUGCCAGCAGCCGCGGUAAAACGUAGGAGGCGAGCGUUAUCCGGAUUUACUGGGCGUAAAGCGCGUGCAGGCGGAUUGGAGAGUUGGAUGUGAAAGCUCCCGGCUUAACUGGGAGAGGUCGUUCAAUACUUCCAGUCUUGAGUGCAGUAGAGGGUAGUGGAAUUCCUGGUGUAGUGGUGAAAUGCGUAGAUAUCCGGAGGAACACCAGUGGCUAAAGCGGCUUCCUGGACUGUAACUGACGCUCAGACGCGAAAGCUAGGGUAGCAAACG